UACGAAGGGGGCUAGCGUUGUUCGGAAUCACUGGGCGUAAAGCGCACGUAGGCGGAUUUUUAAGUCAGGGGUGAAAUCCCGAGGCUCAACCUUGGAACUGCCUUUGAUACUGGAGAUCUUGAGUCCGGAAGAGGUAAGUGGAACUGCGAGUGUAGAGGUGAAAUUCGUAGAUAUUCGCAAGAACACCAGUGGCGAAGGCGGCUUACUGGUCCGGAACUGACGCUGAGGUGCGAAAGCGUGGGGAGCAAACAGG
This 253-nucleotide ribosomal RNA is filed under the name uncultured bacterium. Its description in RNAcentral is "partial 16S ribosomal RNA". It matches the Rfam family "Bacterial small subunit ribosomal RNA", at positions 524 to 776 of the family's 1533-position model. The record is from RNAcentral.